GAGUCGUUAGCUCAGUCGGUAGAGCAACGCCCUUUUAAGGCGUGGGUCCUGGGUUCGAGUCCCAGACGACUCACCA
This 76-nucleotide transfer RNA is filed under the name Armatimonadota bacterium. Its description in RNAcentral is "Armatimonadetes bacterium (activated sludge metagenome) tRNA-Lys". It matches the Rfam family "tRNA". Rfam says of the family: Transfer RNA (tRNA) molecules are approximately 80 nucleotides in length. The record is from RNAcentral. RNAcentral also lists the same sequence under 1 other name. Lineage: Bacteria; Bacillati; Armatimonadota.